This 580-nucleotide long non-coding RNA is filed under the name Rattus norvegicus (Norway rat). RNAcentral's name for it is "long non-coding RNA NONRATT011143". The record is from RNAcentral. Lineage: Eukaryota; Metazoa; Chordata; Mammalia; Rodentia; Muridae.
GAGCAAAGCCAGAAACCAGGUACUUGACGAAAGUAGCAGCACAUCUGAAGACACCUUAGUGUGUGACCUUGUGACCUUUGCGAAGGAGAAGGUAGCCACAAAGAUCCACACAUAAAUAACCCUUAGCACAGUAUAUUCUCAGACCUACAGCUCUACCUGGAAUAGCCAUCGGUCCCUGCGAUGUUUCAAUGGUGGUUGUUUCAGAAGUCUCCGUGUGGUUCCUUGUAUGUCUUCUCUCACUAGCCUGUGUAAGCUGCUCUGGUCCUCUCCAACACUGCCCGUCACAGUACUUUUGUUUGCCAUAGAAAGGGAAUUAUUGGCAGUUUGCCUGUUUUUAGCUGCUUUAAAAACAAAAGUAGUUGCUUUGGAAGGAAGCUUCCAUCAAUCCCUGCAGAACAUAGCUGGAAGCCAGCUGGUACAAGCCCCCUUCUCCCAGAAAAAGGGAGGAAGAGGCAGGAGGACGCUUUGGCGAUUUGAAUACCUUUUCGAAUCCCUGUGCAAUUCGGAGAUGGUGUCUUGUAUUUAGUGGGUUGUCAAAGCCAAAGGGGUCUUUCAGUUUAUAUCAAAAAACAAAGAAAAA